GUGUUUGUGGCAGAGUGGUUUAUGUCCUUGAUUGUGAAUCAAGAUUACGCGAGUUCAAAUCUCGUCAAACACCCCG
Molecule: transfer RNA, 76 nt
Filed under: Sphingomonas sp.
Lineage: Bacteria; Pseudomonadati; Pseudomonadota; Alphaproteobacteria; Sphingomonadales; Sphingomonadaceae
Description: tRNA-His
Rfam family: tRNA
About the family: Transfer RNA (tRNA) molecules are approximately 80 nucleotides in length. Their secondary structure includes four short double-helical elements and three loops (D, anti-codon, and T loops). Further hydrogen bonds mediate the characteristic L-shaped molecular structure. tRNAs have two regions of fundamental functional importance: the anti-codon, which is responsible for specific mRNA codon recognition, and the 3' end, to which the tRNAs corresponding amino acid is attached (by aminoacyl-tRNA synthetases). tRNAs cope with the degeneracy of the genetic code in two manners: having more than one tRNA (with a specific anti-codon) for a particular amino acid; and 'wobble' base-pairing, i.e. permitting non-standard base-pairing at the 3rd anti-codon position.
Source: RNAcentral